CCCUUAGAUGCUCUGGGCCGCACGCGCGCUACACUGGUCGAUGCAACGAGUUUCUUUCCUUGGCCGACAGGCCUGGGCAAUCUUUGAACAUCGAUCGUGAUCGGGAUAGAUUCUUGUAAUUUUUGAUCUUAAACGAGGAAUUCCUAGUAAACGCAAGUCAUCAGCUUGCAUUGAUUACGUCCCUGCCCUUUGUACACACCGCCCGUCGCACCUACCGAUUUCGAGUGGUUCGGUGAACCUUUCGGACCGGCAAUGCCUCGUGUUGCGCCGGAAAGUCAAGUAAACCAUAUCACUUAGAGGAAGGAGAAGUCGUAACA
RNAcentral lists this ribosomal RNA (317 nucleotides) under uncultured eukaryote. RNAcentral describes it as "partial 18S ribosomal RNA". It matches the Rfam family "Eukaryotic small subunit ribosomal RNA", at positions 1470 to 1796 of the family's 1831-position model. The record is from RNAcentral.